RNAcentral lists this ribosomal RNA (468 nucleotides) under uncultured bacterium. RNAcentral describes it as "partial 16S ribosomal RNA". It matches the Rfam family "Bacterial small subunit ribosomal RNA", at positions 28 to 507 of the family's 1533-position model. The record is from RNAcentral.
GACGAACGCUGGCGGCGUGCUUAACACAUGCAAGUCGAACGGAAAGGCCCUGCUUUUGUGGGGUGCUCGAGUGGCGAACGGGUGAGUAACACGUGAGUAACCUGCCCUUGACUUUGGGAUAACUUCAGGAAACUGGGGCUAAUACCGGAUAGGAGCUCCUGCUACAUGGUGGGGGUUGGAAAGUUUCGGCGGCUGGGGAUGGACUCGCGGCUUAUCAGCUUGUUGGUGGGGUAGUGGCUUACCAAGGCUUUGACGGGUAGCCGGCCUGAGAGGGUGACCGGCCACAUUGGGACUGAGAUACGGCCCAGACUCCUACGGGAGGCAGCAGUGGGGAAUAUUGCACAAUGGGCGGAAGCCUGAUGCAGCAACGCCGCGUGCGGGAUGACGGCCUUCGGGUUGUAAACCGCUUUCGCCUGUGACGAAGCGUGAGUGACGGUAAUGGGUAAAGAAGCACCGGCUAACUACGUG